CACGUAGGGUGCGAGCGUUGUCCGGAAUUAUUGGGCGGAAAGAGCUCGUAGGCGGUGUGUCGCGUCGGCCGUGAAAACCUGCAGCUUAACUGUGGGCUUGCGGUCGAUACGGGCAUCACUGGAGUUCGGCAGGGGAGACUGGAAUUCCUGGUGUAGCGGUGAAAUGCGCAGAUAUCAGGAGGAACACCGGUGGCGAAGGCGGGUCUCUGGGCCGAUACUGACGCUGAGGAGCGAAAGCGUGGGGAGCGAACAGG
RNAcentral lists this ribosomal RNA (254 nucleotides) under uncultured bacterium. RNAcentral's name for it is "partial 16S ribosomal RNA". It matches the Rfam family "Bacterial small subunit ribosomal RNA", at positions 524 to 776 of the family's 1533-position model. The record is from RNAcentral.